GAUGAACGCUGACAGAAUGCUUAACACAUGCAAGUCUUUGGCGAAGCUGUGCUUGCACAGCCUAGCCAAGGCGGAUGGGUGAGUAACGCGUAAGGGACUUGCCCUGCAGUCAGGGAUAACAGACGGAAACGACUGAUAAGACCUGGUAAAGCCAGGCGGACUCAUGUCCAGCCUGAUGAAAAGGAAUGCUGCAGGAGAGCCUUGCGUCCUAUUAGCUUGUUGGUGGGGUAACGGCCCACCAAGGCGAUGAUAGGUAGCCGGCCUGAGAGGGUGGACGGCCACAAGGGGACUGAGAUACGGCCCUUACUCCUACGGGAGGCAGCAGUGGGGAAUAUUGGACAAUGGGGGCAACCCUGAUCCAGCAAUUCUGUGUGCACGAUGAAGGUCUUCGGAUUGUAAAGUGCUUUCAGCAGGGAAGAAAA
This 422-nucleotide ribosomal RNA is filed under the name Leptotrichia wadei. Its description in RNAcentral is "bacterial SSU rRNA". It matches the Rfam family "Bacterial small subunit ribosomal RNA", at positions 28 to 451 of the family's 1533-position model. The record is from RNAcentral. Lineage: Bacteria; Fusobacteriati; Fusobacteriota; Fusobacteriia; Fusobacteriales; Leptotrichiaceae.